GUGCUCGUCUCAGCAGCACAUGUACUAAAAUUGGAAUGAUUCAGAGAUUACCAAGAACCGUGCAUAAGGCUGACACGCAAAUUUGUAGAGCAUUCCAUAUUUUU
Cavia aperea (Brazilian guinea pig) is the source of this 104-nucleotide small nuclear RNA. The record is from Ensembl. NCBI's taxonomy places the organism in Eukaryota, Metazoa, Chordata, Mammalia, Rodentia, Caviidae.